GCCCCGGUAGGGUAGUGGACAUCCUAGAAGCCUCCGGAGCUUUUGACCUGGGUUCGAAUCCCAGCCGGGGCG
RNAcentral lists this transfer RNA (72 nucleotides) under Methanomicrobiales archaeon. Its description in RNAcentral is "tRNA-Arg". It matches the Rfam family "tRNA". From Rfam's summary of the family: Transfer RNA (tRNA) molecules are approximately 80 nucleotides in length. Their secondary structure includes four short double-helical elements and three loops (D, anti-codon, and T loops). RNAcentral also lists the same sequence under 1 other name. The record is from RNAcentral. Lineage: Archaea; Methanobacteriati; Methanobacteriota; Methanomicrobia; Methanomicrobiales.